UGGGGAAUAUUGCACAAUGGGCGCAAGCCUGAUGCAGCAACGCCGCGUGAGGGACGACGGCCUUCGGGUUGUAAACCUCUUUUAGUAGGGAAGAAGCGAAAGUGACGGUACCUGCAGAAAAACGCACCGGCUAACUACGUGCCAGCAGCCGCGGUAAUACGUAGGGUGCGAGCGUUGUCCGGAAUUAUUGGGCGUAAAGAGCUCGUAGGCGGUCUGUCGCGUCUGCUGUGAAAACCCGAGGCUCAACCUCGGGCCUGCAGUGGGUACGGGCAGACUAGAGUGCGGUAGGGGAGAAUGGAAUUCCUGGUGUAGCGGUGGAAUGCGCAGAUAUCAGGAGGAACACCGAUGGCGAAGGCAGUUCUCUGGGCCGUAACUGACGCUGAGGAGCGAAAGCGUGGGGAGCGAACAGGAUUAGAUACCCUGGUAGUCCACGCCGUAAACGUUGGGCGCUAGAUGUGGGGACCAUUCCACGGUUUCCGUGUCGCAGCUAACGCA
This 495-nucleotide ribosomal RNA is filed under the name uncultured bacterium. RNAcentral describes it as "partial 16S ribosomal RNA". It matches the Rfam family "Bacterial small subunit ribosomal RNA", at positions 355 to 859 of the family's 1533-position model. The record is from RNAcentral.